Molecule: long non-coding RNA, 482 nt
Organism: Rhinichthys klamathensis goyatoka
Lineage: Eukaryota; Metazoa; Chordata; Actinopteri; Cypriniformes; Leuciscidae
Exons: 3
Source: RefSeq, a predicted model, not a curated record
AGUAAUAUGAACUGAGAGAAGUCGUGUGGAGAACAACCAGCUGAAAAGUUUACCUUUGGUCCAGGGAAUCCAAUCCCAAUAUCUCCCGGCGGGCCAGACGCACCAGCCGGCCCUCGGUCCCCCUAGGAACAACCUGAAGAUCUUCCCUGUGGAUGAGGAACCAGGAACAAGAACCGUGUUGGUCAGAGAGUCAGUAGUGAGACAAAAUGUAUGACCCUAUGAAGAUGUGAUGUACCUCUGGACCAUUGAUUCCUGGAAGACCAGAGUUUUCUUCAUGAACGGCACAAGUGAAGGAAUAUGGCCUCAAUUCCAUCCCAGCAAUACUCACAGAAGCUCCUGGAAGACCUCGAUCACCUUUCUCACACAAACACACCGGUGGUCGUGGGCACUGGCAAGACAAAUAUCAGGUAGUUUGCAAUCAGCAUUGUUAAAGUCCAGUUAUUGAUGGUGUGAUAUGCUUUGCUUAAAGGGAUAGUUCACCC